ACUCCGGUCAUAUAGCUUUCAGGCCUGAAUUCUGAAAUGGCGCUACUCGGAAAACCAUGAAAGGCCACUCAUGGAUGGUGAUAGGGGGAGAAAAGAACCAAAGGAGAAGGAAAGGCCACGUACUACCCUAUCCCUUGUUUUGACUCAUUGACCUGCUGUCUGCAGAGCACUGCCUCUCAUUUCGCUUGCAGUGCAAUACUCAUCCAGUUCCAACUUCCUUGUCUGCGCGACGAGCAGAGGAGGAGGGGCAAGCUCCCGCGUCCCGUUCGCUGUUUAAUCCGUGUUUCUGCAUGCACAAAACAAAAAGGGGAAACAUCAGCAACAACAAAACCCCGCAAUCCCAUGGAGGAGGUGGCGCUGGCUGGCUUGCGACUGGCGGUAUCACCAAUAUUGAAGGAGCUCAUCACUAAAGCUUCAUCAACUGGAGACCACCGUCAUGCCGCAGUUCGAGUUGAUGAUUCAAGCUGCUAACAAGCGCAACCAGAGGGCCAUGCUGGACAGAUGGAUCCAAGAGCUCAAAGACGCCUUGUACAAGGCUGAGGACCUGUUGGAUGACCAACAGCCCCCGCGCGCCGCCGCUAGCCCUCCUCUCCCCUCCUCUUCCCCUCGCCGCCGCCGGAGCGCGCCGCCAGGCAAAGCCCGGCCGGCGUAGGCGGCGGCGGGGCCCUGGUCUCCCGUCCCUUGAGGUGGUCUGACGCGGGGCUGCCCCCCUCGAGCUGAUGCGUGGCGCUUGGCGGGGCGCGACGGCGCGGCACCGGCUGCAGCCAAGGUGACGGCGGCGGCUGCGGGUGGUGGCGUGGAGGGCUGCUGGGCCUUGCGGGGCAUGGUGCCCGUGCUUGGGUGCGGUGGCGGGGUGUGCUCGGAGUGGUGGCGAGGGUUUCCCAGAUCUGAUCUGGACGGUGGUGGAUCCUCGGGCCGCCGCUUCGCGGGUGGCACGGGCUGCGGUGGCUAGGGCCUGCCGGCGGUGCGCGGGGGCUGUUGCGCUCGUCCUCGUCGGCAUGGUGGCGGUGGUGGUGGUGCGUGCUGGCUGGAUUUCGCCUGUUUUCGGCCGGCGGCGCGGGUUUGGGGCCCCGGCCCGGCGUGGCUGCGGUCCCGGCUGUGUGUGGCGGCGGCGAGGUUGCUUCACUGUGCCGGCUCCACGGCAGCUCGGCGGGUUGACGGGGGCGGCGGCUGGCUUUCCGGCGUCGGCUCGUCUGUUGGCGGCCUGUUUCGACCUUCGGCCCUCUCCUCGUCGUAUGGUUGCUACCUCCGUCGAAGGUUCCGCCUCCCCCGACUAUGGUCCAUCGCUCGUCUCGCGCUCGGCAGCAGGACCGAGCUCGUCUCGUGCCCGGCAGCAGGACCGAUCUUGUCUCGCGCCCGGCAGCAGGACCGACCUCGUCUCGCGCCCGGCAGCAGGACCGUGCUCGUCUCGCGCCCGGCAGCAGGAUGGGUCGAUGGAGGCCAAUUUUGGCCGACCUUCGGGUUUUGGCGUUAGGGGCAGCCCAGGGGUGCGAAAGGCGGUUCCUUCCGCUCGUAUCUUUGGUUAAGGUAGCGGUGGGUCUCGAGUGAGGUGGAUUCCAGGUCUUGGAUGCCAGGGCGGCGGCCCUGGGGUUGGCUCCGCGGUGCUCUUGGGCAGAGCCCGUGGUUAGGUGCUGCCCGGUGGCCAUGGCCGUGUGGGCGGCGUGGUCAUCGGGAUGUGGCGUCCGGUGGUGGUGAGUGUUGGCGGGGGUGAAAACUUGAUCUGUCUUCGGAUGGACUGGCAACGGCGAAGCUCGCUUCCUUCUUGAAGGCGUCGUCGCGGCUCUCAUUGCCCGUCGUGUUGCUCCAGGGGAAACUCUGAUCCUCGGGUCGGGCGGUGACGGCGCUCUGGUGUCAUAACCUUCCUGAAGGCGCCGCCUUGAAGCACACGGUUCGUUAUAUGCGGCUUCUUCUCUUCGCGUUGGCGUCUCCUCGGUUGAGGACUCCGGUUGCUCUUGUAGUACGAGGGGUAGUGUUGCCGCGCCUAUGUAUCCAGCCUUGGGUGUGUGCGUGUGUUGUGGUGGCGUGCGUUUGUAUCUAAGCUGCGGUCGGUCAUUGCUUUAUAUAUAAAGCGGGGCGAAAGCCUUUUUCGGUAAUAGCGCUGAUGGCCCCCUGUGUCAAUAGCGAGUUUUCCUUAGGCUACAUCUAUACCACCACCGAAAGUGAUUGGUCGCGACAAGGACCGUGAUCAUAUAAGACACCUCCUUACCCAGACGAGUGCUGCUGAGGCUAGUUCUGCCAAGUACUCAGGUUUGGCCAUUGUUGGAGCUGGAGGCAUGGGAAAAUCAACCCUGGCACAAUAUGUUUUCAAUGACAAGAGGGUAGAAGAAUGUUUUGAUGUCAAGAUGUGGGUCUUCAUCUCUCGCAAACUUGAUGUCCGUCGUCAUACACAGGAAAUUUUCGAGUCUGCAACAAAUGGGGAAUGCCCACGCCUUGACAACCUUGACACUCUCCAGGGAAAACUAAGAGAUAAACUGCAAGAAUGAGAGAAGUUCCUGCAGGUUCUGGAUGAUAUUUGGUUUGAUGAUUCCAACAAUCAGACGGAGUGGGACCAACUGCUAGCUCCUCUAGUUUCUCGGCACACUGGAAGCAAAGUUUUGGUAACUUCACGACGGGAUACACUUCCGGCUGCUCUUUGUUGCAGUGAAGUAGUAUUUUGUUUGGAAAACAUGGAAGAUAGGCAGUUCCUAGCACUGUUCAAAUACCAUGCCUUCUCUGAACAAGAAAUCAGAAAUCCACAGUUGUGUGAAAAACAAGAAGAGAUUGCAGAGGAAAUCGUUAAAAGGCUUGGGAAAUCUCCUUUGGCUGCAAAAGUUGUGGGUUCCCAGUUGAAUGAAAAACAAAUAUCAGUGCAUGGAAAGAUGCUCUAUCUAUACAGAUUGACAACUUAAGUGAGCCCAGGAGAGCUCUGCUAUGGAGUUAUGAGAAGUUAGAUCCACGUCUACAGAGGUGCUUUCUUUAUUGCAGCUUAUUUUCGAAAGGUCACAUGUAUGGCAUCGAGGAGUUGAUUCACCUGUGGGUAGCAGAGGGAUUUGUUGAUUCAUGCAACAUGAGCAAGAGAAUGGAAGAUAUUGGAAGAGAUUACUUCAAUGGAUGGUCUCUGUUUCAUUCCUUCAACAAGUUUCGAAUGGAUAUACCCAUGUUAUGCAUGAUCUCCUUCAUGAUUUGGCACAGUCACUCUCGAAACAAGACUGCUUCAGAUUGGAAGAUGAUAAGAUGACGGAGAUACCAUGCACCGUUCGACAUCUCUCUGUUUGUGUUGAGAGUAUGAUACAACAUAAGCAAAGUAUCUGCAGGUUACAUCAUUUACGCACUGUUAUCUGCAUUGACCCAGUAAUAGAUGACAUAAAUGAUGUUUUUAAUCAGGUACUACAGAGACUGAAGAAGUUGCGUGUACUAUAUUUGUCAUUAUACAACAAGAGCAAGUUGCCAGAAUCUAUUGGUGAGCUGAAGCACCUUCGAUAUCUGAACAUCAUCAGAAGUUUGGUUUCUGAGCUGCCGAGGUCAUUAUGUACUCUUUAUCACCUGCAAUUUCUUCAGUUCAGUGAUAAACUCCAUAGUUUGCCUGAGGUGCACUGCAACUUAAGUAAUUUACGUCAUCUUGGGAUGUAUGUUGAUAUAUGGGCUCAAUAUACAAAUCAGAUCGGCAAAUUCCUAACAUAGGCAAGCUAACCUCACUCCAAAACCUUGAGGAUUUUUAUUUGCAGAAGCAGAAGGGAUAUGAGUUACGACAGCUGGGGAACAUGAAGGAGCUUGGUGGCAGUUUAAGUGUCAAAAAUCUUGACAUUGUUACUGGGAGGGAUGAAGCCUUAGAGGCGAAGCUACAUCAGAAAAGUCAUCUCAAAAGCUUGCAUUUUGCCUGGUGUUGCAGGGAUGAUGUUAAUGCAGAGGAUCGUUUACAUUUAGAGGUUUUAGAAGGUCUGAAGCCACCACCACAACUAUUGGCCCUUGCAAUCCAAGGUUAUAGAGCAGCGAAAUAUCCAAAUUGGUUAUUUGAGGAUUCACAUUUUUAGAAUUUGGAAUCCUUUUCACUUGCUGAUUGCAGUAUGUUAGAAGGCCUGCCAUCUAAUAUCAACCUCUUCAGGAAUUGCUGUUCACUUGUCCUCGAGAAUGUCCCAAACCUGAAGAUAUUGCCUUGUCUUCCAGCUA
Triticum aestivum (bread wheat) is the source of this 4146-nucleotide long non-coding RNA. RefSeq lists it as uncharacterized. NCBI's taxonomy places the organism in Eukaryota, Viridiplantae, Streptophyta, Magnoliopsida, Poales, Poaceae. The record is from RefSeq and is a predicted model, not a curated record. The transcript has 2 exons.